RNAcentral lists this ribosomal RNA (198 nucleotides) under uncultured bacterium. Its description in RNAcentral is "partial 16S ribosomal RNA". It matches the Rfam family "Bacterial small subunit ribosomal RNA", at positions 328 to 539 of the family's 1533-position model. The record is from RNAcentral.
ACGCUCGACACCUACGGGAGGCAGCAGUGGGGAAUAUUGCACAAUGGGGGAAACCCUGAUGCAGCGACGCCGCGUGGAGGAAGAAGGUCUUCGGAUUGUAAACUCCUGUUGUUGGGGAAAAAGAGGAUGGUACCCAACAAGGGAGUGACGGCUAACUACGUGCCUGCAGCCGCGGUAAUCUGAGCGGGCUGGCAAGGC